CAGAGUUCCUGCCCUCAGCGGUAGAUCUCCCACCCUAUGUUAUCACCCUCUGUUGCUUUGGCGGGCCGCCCCCGUGGCCCUGGCUCCGGCCAGGCAGUGCCCGCCAGAGGACCCCAACUCUGGAUAUUAUGUCGUCUGAGCACUAUAUAAUCGUUA
RNAcentral lists this unclassified non-coding RNA (156 nucleotides) under uncultured Helotiales. RNAcentral describes it as "sequence contains ITS1". The record is from RNAcentral. Lineage: Eukaryota; Fungi; Ascomycota; Leotiomycetes; Helotiales.